GUAGCUCAACGGAUAGAGCAUCUGACUACGGAUCAGAAGGUUGGGGGUUCGAAUCCCUCC
RNAcentral lists this transfer RNA (60 nucleotides) under Corynebacterium diphtheriae. Its description in RNAcentral is "tRNA-Arg". It matches the Rfam family "tRNA", at positions 7 to 64 of the family's 71-position model. From Rfam's summary of the family: Transfer RNA (tRNA) molecules are approximately 80 nucleotides in length. Their secondary structure includes four short double-helical elements and three loops (D, anti-codon, and T loops). The record is from RNAcentral. Lineage: Bacteria; Bacillati; Actinomycetota; Actinomycetes; Mycobacteriales; Corynebacteriaceae.